AUCGUACCAACCAUCGACCACACAGGACCACACACCAGCGUGGAGCCGUGGAUUGGCGCUCUCUUUGUCCAGUAGAUCACUGACCCGGCGGCGGCGGCGGCUACCCGGCGCUCUCCGUUGUCCAUUCCGUCGCUCCCCGGUCCCCGCCAUCCCUGCUUUCCCCUUGAAUGCCCACCUCUGCUUCCAGCCUCCACAUCAAGCUCCAGUUCGUCCGCGGCUAAAGCCUCCGCGCCGGAAGUUCUGCGAUCGAGCGAGUUUCCGGGGCCCAUACCGAUGGCCCUGCUUCCUUCGGGCUCAGGCAGCACGCCGGUGAUCGCCGAGGUGGAGAUGAACGGCGGCGCCGACCAGAGCGCCACCACCGUACGAGCCACCGUCGUGCAGGCAUCCACAGUCUUCUACGACACCCCCGCCACUCUCGAUAAAGCAGAGAGACUGAUAGCAGAGGCUGCUGGAUAUGGUUCACAGUUGGUCGUGUUCCCAGAAGCUUUUGUUGGUGGUUAUCCUCGUGGAUCCACCUUUGGCUUUGGGAUCAAUAUUAGUAUGACUAAUCCAAAAGACAAGGGAAAGGGUGAAUUCCAGAAGUAUCAUGCAGCUGCCAUAGAUGUGCCUGGUCCAGAGGUGACAUGCUUAGCUGCUAUGGCUGGGAAAUAUAAGGUCUUUCUGGUAAUGGGGGUGAUUGAGCGAGAAGGUCACACACUGUAUUGUUCAGUGCUCUUCUUUGAUCCUCUAGGUCGGUACCUGGGUAAGCACCGCAAGCUGAUGCCGACGGCAUUAGAAAGGAUAAUAUGGGGAUUUGGAGAUGGAUCAACAAUUCCUGUUUAUGAUACUCCACUUGGAAAGAUCGGAGCCCUUAUUUGCUGGGAAAAUAAGAUGCCACUUUUAAGGACAGCACUGUAUGGUAAAGGUAUUGAGAUAUACUGCGCUCCCACGGCUGAUUCAAGGCCAGUGUGGCAAGCUUCCAUGACACAUAUCGCCCUGGAGGGGGGAUGCUUUGUGUUGUCGGCAAACCAGUUCUGCCGCAGAAAGGACUACCCUCCGCCGUCCGAGUACGCAUUUGCCGGUUUACGAGAAGAGCCUUCUCCCGACACCGUUGUCUGCCCUGGAGGCAGCGUUAUCAUUUCGCCGUCACGAGAAGUCCUGGCAGGUCCCAACUACGAUGGAGAGGCGCUCAUCACAGCCGACCUUGACAUGGGAGAGAUCGUUCGGGCCAAGUUUGCUUUUGACGUGGUGGGCCACUACGCUCGGCCUGAGGUGCUGAGCUUGGUAGUGGAUGACCAACCGCACCGGCCGGUGUCAUUCACCUGUGCUGCUGAGAAGACUCCGGCUGCCAAGAGCGACGGCACCGCAAAGCCCUGACGACCAUCAUCAGCUCAGUCACAAGCAGUUGUUUAUUAUCGAUAGUUUUCUUUUUGUGUGAAACGACUUCUAUCGAUAGCUUAAUAAGCCGAUGAAAUGUAAGCUCGGAUCGCCCGCAUGCCUGAUGCCCCUGUAAGUUACGCUGCUUGUAAAAUGCCUUCCGGAACAGUCAGCUGAUGCCCGUUCACCGUGUGAUGCAUCUGAUAUCC
RNAcentral lists this ribosomal RNA (1565 nucleotides) under Triticum aestivum (bread wheat). RNAcentral's name for it is "partial small subunit ribosomal RNA". The record is from RNAcentral. Lineage: Eukaryota; Viridiplantae; Streptophyta; Magnoliopsida; Poales; Poaceae.